RNAcentral lists this unclassified non-coding RNA (1398 nucleotides) under Hevea brasiliensis (rubber tree). Lineage: Eukaryota; Viridiplantae; Streptophyta; Magnoliopsida; Malpighiales; Euphorbiaceae. The record is from RNAcentral.
UAAAAAUCCACUUUCUCUUUUAGCUUUUGUGUGUGCUCCAAAUUUUUCCUUUUUUUGCUCUCAAAGAUGCCGAUGGAUACCGAAACAAAUCAAUCAGGAGAUUUCAUCUUUCGAUCUAAGCUCCCUGAUAUUUACAUCCCUAAACAUUUGCCUUUACAUUCUUAUUGCUUUGAAAAUCUUUCGGAGUUCAGUUCUCGCCCCUGUUUGAUUGAUGGUUCAAAUGAUCGAAUCUACACUUAUGCUGAAGUUGAACUUACUUCGAGAAAAGUUGCUGUUGGGCUUAGCAAAUUAGGGAUCCAACAGAAGGAUACAAUCAUGAUCCUCUUGCCUAAUUGCCCUGAGUUUGUGUUUGCGUUUAUUGGAGCAUCGUAUCUAGGAGCAAUUUCAACAAUGGCUAAUCCUCUGUUUACACCAGCAGAGGUAGUAAAACAAGCCAAAGCCUCAAGCGCUAAGAUCGUUAUCACACAAGCUUGUUUUGCGGGGAAAGUGAAGGACUACGCAAUUGAAAACGAUUUGAAGGUUAUUUGCGUCGACUCCGCACCGGAAGGUUGUGUUCAUUUCUCCGAAUUGAUUCAAUCCGAUGAACACGAAAUUCCUGAGGUGAAUAUCCAGCCGAACGAUGUCGUAGCUCUGCCGUAUUCCUCCGGUACUACCGGGCUGCCGAAAGGGGUGAUGUUGACACACAAAGGCUUAGUCACGAGCGUUGCGCAACAAGUUGAUGGAGAAAAUGCUAAUUUGUAUAUGCACAGUGAUGAUGUGUUGAUGUGUGUGUUGCCUCUGUUCCAUAUAUACUCACUCAAUUCUGUUUUGCUCUGUGCAUUGAGAGUCGGAGCAGCAAUUUUGAUUAUGCAGAAAUUCGACAUUGCUCAGUUUUUGGAGUUGAUACAGAAGCAUAAAGUGACGAUUGGGCCAUUUGUACCGCCUAUUGUUCUCGCCAUUGCUAAGAGCCCAUUAGUUGAUAACUACGAUCUUUCAUCAGUAAGAACAGUCAUGUCUGGUGCUGCACCAUUAGGCAAGGAACUUGAAGAUGCCGUCCGAGCCAAAUUCCCUAACGCUAAACUCGGUCAGGGUUAUGGAAUGACGGAAGCUGGUCCAGUGCUGGCGAUGUGUUUGGCAUUUGCGAAAGAACCGUUUGAUAUUAAAUCAGGGGCAUGUGGUACCGUUGUGAGGAACGCAGAGAUGAAAAUUGUGGAUCCGGAUACGGGUUGCUCUCUGCCCCGUAACCAACCCGGUGAAAUUUGCAUUAGAGGUGAUCAAAUCAUGAAAGGUUACUUGAAUGACCCUGAAGCUACAGCUAGAACAAUAGAAAAAGAAGGAUGGUUACACACUGGCGAUAUUGGAUAUAUUGACGAUGAUGAUGAGCUUUUCAUCGUGGAUCGAUUGAAGGAAUUGAUCAAA